RNAcentral lists this ribosomal RNA (448 nucleotides) under Trochoidea elegans. RNAcentral's name for it is "partial 16S ribosomal RNA". It matches the Rfam family "Archaeal large subunit ribosomal RNA", at positions 1900 to 2676 of the family's 2987-position model. Lineage: Eukaryota; Metazoa; Mollusca; Gastropoda; Stylommatophora; Geomitridae. The record is from RNAcentral.
CAAAAACAUAGCCAGAUGAAACGAUGUUUGGUGCCUUCUGCUCCAUGGUUAACUAAAUAGCCGCAGUACCUUGACUGUGCUAAGGUAGCAUAAUCAAUUGGCUUAUAAUUGAAGUCUGGAAUGAAAGAAGACAUGGAUAGUCUCUGUCUCUUAACUUUAAACUGAAUUUACUAAUUAGGUGAAAAGUCCUAUAAAUAACUAAUAGACGAGAAGACCCUUGAAAUUUUUUACAUAACAGUAUAGAUACUUCAUAAUUUUGUUGGGGCGACAGGAUAACAAAUAACUUGUCUUGUAUAUAUUAGCAUUUUAUUUAAGGAAAAAAUAAAUUACUCGAGGGAUAACAGCAUAAUGUGUUUAAAGUUUGUGACCUCGAUGUUGGACUAGGGUCUCUUAAGGCCAGAAGCUUUAAGAUUAGGCUCUGUUCGAGCUUGUAUUCCUACGUGAUCUG